RNAcentral lists this ribosomal RNA (253 nucleotides) under uncultured bacterium. Its description in RNAcentral is "partial 16S ribosomal RNA". It matches the Rfam family "Bacterial small subunit ribosomal RNA", at positions 524 to 776 of the family's 1533-position model. The record is from RNAcentral.
UACGGAGGGGGCGAGCGUUAUUCGGAAUUAUUGGGCGUAAAGGGCUCGUAGGCGGUUUGUCGCGUCGGGAGUGAAAACACCGGGCUUAACUCGGUGCUUGCUUUCGAUACGGGCAGACUAGAGGUAUGCAGGGGAGAACGGAAUUCCUGGUGUAGCGGUGAAAUGCGCAGAUAUCAGGAGGAACACCGGUGGCGAAGGCGGUUCUCUGGGCAUUACCUGACGCUGAGGAGCGAAAGUGUGGGGAGCGAACAGG